Pan troglodytes (chimpanzee) is the source of this 1732-nucleotide long non-coding RNA. RefSeq lists it as uncharacterized. Lineage: Eukaryota; Metazoa; Chordata; Mammalia; Primates; Hominidae. The record is from RefSeq and is a predicted model, not a curated record. The transcript is spliced from 3 exons.
AGGCUUUCAAGCAGACGCUUCCCGGUUCCCAGAUCAACAGCAGGAUAACAAUAUUGCAGCUGAACAGACCUGGCUCAAUACAAUGGAGAAGCUGAUGGGAGGACUCCAGCCGGAGUGAGGGAGACCGCCCCUCUAGUGCACACCAUAGCUCAUUUGCAUGGCUUCCUGGAGUCCACAGCAGCAGUGCUCAACAACAGACAUCCAGAGUAACUUCUGCAGCAACCAGCGGGUCUUAAGGAAUUACCAGAUCUGGUUCUUGGCUUUGCUCCUUGACUCAGUUGACCUCCUACCCCUCACAGCAGGGUAAAGACUUGCACAUCACUGACAGGCGGCUCGGAGUCAGCCUUGGAGUCGGCCUUCCAUGCCCAGCCCUGAGGCCACCAUGCCACGUUCCAGUUGGCUCAAGCAGUGAGAGGCAAAACCAGCUCCAGGGCCAGGUGGAAGGGCUGCUUCUCUCCUGCCUCCAUCAAAUGCUGACCUUGCCUCUGAAUGACCAAGCAAAACAAAGGAAUAAAUGAAUGAAUAAAAAUUUUGACCUGUUAAUUCCUUAAGACCUUGAUACGUAUUCGUGGGUAAGCAAUUUUAUACUAUUUUAUAAAACUGUUUUCAGCUGUUUGUAGUCAGGGUCGGGUGCCAGGCACCUAGACACCCCCCUCCCCAUUCCCAGGAAGGUUUUGGCCAAACCUGCAUCCACCACCUUGGCAUGCCAAUGCAUUCGAGGCCCGGCAGGCCCUGACUCAACAGAACCGUCUCGCCCUCCACAGCCACCACAGCCACGUGGGCCAAUACCCAGCGCGUGCCCCACUGCCCCAAGCCUCUCUGCCGGCGUGGCUCUCCCCCAACCUCACUCUCAAUACAAAAGGGACAGCACCGAAAGAACAAGGGAGGCCGGAAUGGUGGCAUUAUUCAAUUAAAUAUACAGAGUGCUUCCUUUAAUAUGUACACAUUUACAAAAAUGCACUUUCACGAGGAGGGGCGGCCGGGGCCGGCAGGUGGGCAGCGCCUGGUGCCACGGCACGCAUGGACAGUUGCGAGGGGUCUGUGUGAAGGCACUUGUCACGAGCUUCAAUACUGCCGCCGUCCCAGGAUGGGAGAACUGCGCAGCAGGAAGGGCACUUCUGAAAGCACAGUGGAGAGAUCGCUGGAGCGGGCGUUCUGGGCAGGAGGAAGCACAGACGGCAGGCAGGGUGGACUGGCCAGCAAGCGCGAGGUUGACCUGCCGGCCUUGGGCCACGCCGAUGACCUCAGGCCCCACUAACAACCACAGGUGCGCCAACAGCCACGGGCCAUGCCGGCAGCCAGGGCCACAUCAAUAACCAGGGUCCCACCGACCACCGUAGGUCCCACCGACAGCCACAGGUCCCAUUGACAGCCACGAGUCCCACCGACAGCCACAGGCCACACCAUCAGCCACGGGUCCCACCAACAGCCAUGGGCCACACCAACACAGCCAUGGGUCUCACUGGCACUUUGGCCUGGAGCCACAGAGAAACCCGAGUGAGGAAUAAAAGGAAGAUUCUGUAAACAGUGCACAACCUCUGGUAACAAACGCUAUGAUUUGGUGACGACGCAGACACCCUUUGCUCUCUCCUGCCAUACAGCGAGUGCCACGCACGGAAACUUUACAAAAAUAGCAACUAUCCGAGAAUACUCCAUUGUUUUCAGCCUGACAGUUACUGAAUAAUUUAUACAAGGUUAAAGAAACGUAGAAAAUAAACAUUUGUUUUUUGUU